CGCCUUCUAAGAUUGAAGAUUCCCGGCCCCUGUUCCUCUCUCGGUCGAUGCCCUAGCUGCCGACAUCAAUCUCUCACCUCCAUCCCGAGCCUCUGUCGCCGUUGACCUCGCCGCCGUUUAAGAUCGAAGAUUCCGCUUCUCCGCUGCUGUCGAUUUCGCCAUCGUCUAAGGUAAGUCUCCUCCUCCUCUUCCUCCUCUUUGUUUUCUUCUUGUUUUUAACGCUCGCCUGGCCCCCGUUCCUCAGUCAUCCUCUCUCGGCCGAGCAACGUCCGAUGCCUCUCCUCCUCCCUCCUCUCCAGCGCCGAGCGACCGCGCAUCCGCAACCUCCU
This 329-nucleotide long non-coding RNA is filed under the name Phoenix dactylifera (date palm). RNAcentral describes it as "long non-coding RNA (PDAC_LNC009228)". Lineage: Eukaryota; Viridiplantae; Streptophyta; Magnoliopsida; Arecales; Arecaceae. The record is from RNAcentral.